GGGCCCAUAGCUCAGCUGGUUAGAGCAGCAGACUCAUAAUCUGAAGGUCGAAGGUUCAAGUCCUUCUGGGCCCA
Molecule: transfer RNA, 74 nt
Filed under: Cryomorphaceae bacterium
Lineage: Bacteria; Pseudomonadati; Bacteroidota; Flavobacteriia; Flavobacteriales; Cryomorphaceae
Also listed under: 6 other names
Description: tRNA-Ile
Rfam family: tRNA
About the family: Transfer RNA (tRNA) molecules are approximately 80 nucleotides in length. Their secondary structure includes four short double-helical elements and three loops (D, anti-codon, and T loops).
Source: RNAcentral